Molecule: non-coding RNA, 73 nt
Organism: Daphnia pulex (common water flea)
Lineage: Eukaryota; Metazoa; Arthropoda; Branchiopoda; Diplostraca; Daphniidae
Source: Rfam
GUUUCCAUAGUGUAGUGGUUAUCACGUCGUCUUUACACGCUAAAUGUCCUCAGUUCGAUCUUGGGUGGAAACA